AGGGUUUGUUUUUUAGAAAAAGCAGAAAGCGUGUAGAGGUAAAACAUUUAAAAUAAAUAGAAUUUUUUUAGUAAUAGUGCAAUAUUAAAAGAAGAAAAAGAAUUUUUUAUGUGAAGACAAUUUAUUUUUUUCUUUAACACGAAGGUUCUGGGAGCGAACAGGAUUAGAGACCCUGGUAGUCGAUACAGUAAAAGAAAGUCGCUUGAGUAGUACGGUCGCAAGAUUAAAAUUCAAAAAACUUGGCUGUUCAUUGUUAUUUAGAGGAGCGUGUUGCUUAAUUCGAUAAUCCGCGAGUUACCUUACCAAAACUAGCUUUUACAGGUGUUGCA
This 329-nucleotide ribosomal RNA is filed under the name Dipsastraea favus. RNAcentral's name for it is "partial small subunit ribosomal RNA". It matches the Rfam family "Bacterial small subunit ribosomal RNA", at positions 596 to 1000 of the family's 1533-position model. Lineage: Eukaryota; Metazoa; Cnidaria; Anthozoa; Scleractinia; Merulinidae. The record is from RNAcentral.